RNAcentral lists this ribosomal RNA (497 nucleotides) under uncultured bacterium. RNAcentral describes it as "partial 16S ribosomal RNA". It matches the Rfam family "Bacterial small subunit ribosomal RNA", at positions 28 to 507 of the family's 1533-position model. The record is from RNAcentral.
GAUGAACGCUGGCGGCGUGCCUAAUACAUGCAAGUCGAGCGAACAGACGAUGAUCUUGCUCCUCUGACGUUAGCGGCGGACGGGUGAGUAACACGUGGAUAACCUACCUAUAAGACUGGGAUAACUUCGGGAAACCGGAGCUAAUACCGGAUGAUAUAUUGAACCGCAUGGUUCAAUAGUGAAAGACGGUUUUGCUGUCACUUAUAGAUGGAUCCGCGCCGCAUUAGCUAGUUGGUAAGGUAACGGCUUACCAAGGCAACGAUGCGUAGCCGACCUGAGAGGGUGAUCGGUCACACUGGAACUGAGACACGGUCCAGACUCCUACGGGAGGCAGCAGUAGGGAAUCUUACGCAAUGGGCGAAAGCCUGACGGAGCAACGCCGCGUGAGUGAUGAAGGUCUUCGGAUCGUAAAACUCUGUUAUUAGGGAAGAACAAAUGUGUAAGUAACUAUGCACGUCUUGACGGUACCUAAUCAGAAAGCCACGGCUAACUACGUG